RNAcentral lists this small nuclear RNA (140 nucleotides) under Saimiri boliviensis boliviensis (Bolivian squirrel monkey). Its description in RNAcentral is "U4 spliceosomal RNA (ENSSBOG00000000250.1)". It matches the Rfam family "U4 spliceosomal RNA". Rfam says of the family: U4 small nuclear RNA (U4 snRNA) is a component of the major U2-dependent spliceosome. The structure of U4 snRNA from yeast and human has been reported. U4 snRNA presents a k-turn RNA motif in the 5p-SL related to recognition of Snu13 protein. The record is from Rfam by way of RNAcentral. Lineage: Eukaryota; Metazoa; Chordata; Mammalia; Primates; Cebidae.
AGCUUUGUGCAGUGACAGUAUCGUAGCCAAUGAGGUUUAUCCAAGGCGCGAUUAUUGCUAAUUGAAACUUUUCCCAAUACCCUGCCGUGAUGACUUGAAAUAUAGUCAGCGUUGGCAAUUUUUGGCAGUCUCCACGGAGA